This is a long non-coding RNA of Lineus longissimus, 756 nucleotides long. RefSeq lists it as uncharacterized. The record is from RefSeq and is a predicted model, not a curated record. Lineage: Eukaryota; Metazoa; Nemertea; Pilidiophora; Heteronemertea; Lineidae. The transcript has 4 exons.
CCUGACAGGCCGGAGUGCGGGACUGGGGCGAGAGCUGUCAAACGGAAAAUAUAGAAAAUUCGGAAAUAAGUUCAUUUUCGGAUUUUGUUUUUCUUAGCAAAUGGAUACAGUGAUAUUCUUCGUGAGAUCAUUCGCAGAGGACGCGAGCCACGCGACAUGUCAGGAGCAGACGAUAAAGGAUGACGAUUUGAAUUCGAAUUGAAACGAACAGAUUUGAAGGAAAAUGUGAGGAUCGAGAAGGGAAAAUUCCAAGAUGUCGAUCAAAGUGACGUCACCAGUAAAGAUCCCGGAAGUAUUAUAGUGUGGGUUACAUUAGAGUCCAAACUCGCGCAGAAAAUGAAGUCACCGAGGAAUGACGUAAUCGAACGACGCUCGGAAAUGACGGAACAGCGGCGAAACGAAAGAGAGGAGAAGAGAGCGACGUCACCAGGGUUUUGUUCAAAACAACGUUAGCCUCUAACGCUGGCGUUAUUGGAUUACGGUCAUGUGGCCUGCAUCCUUCAGAAGGAUCAUUUACUGUAAGACAGACAGUAUUCACCGACACUGUUAUUCAGAAUGCGAACUUACAUGUAACGCGCCGCGAGGUAGGGCUAACGUCGUUUUGAACACAUUCGCCCCGGAGAAGCAAAACUCUGAACUCCGACGAGCAUUAGACGGUUCCGAACAUCCUGUGUUCCUGAGUCCCGAGUCCCUGAUACCGUAUUUGGCUAUACCUGCUCCCUUCUUUUAAAUACACUAGUCAGUUCUUACAUAGGU